AUUUUAAAUACUUUUUACACUUUUUUGACAUUUUAAUGCUUUUAAAAAAAUUCCAAAAAUAUUGUUCUUAUCAUCUUAAUUUUCUCUAAUUUUCAAAAAUUCAUCCUACUUGUUUCUUUUAAUUUUUUGCUCAUUUCUUCACUUGCUUUCUAUUGUUGCUUUAUUGUGUCUUUAUAUGAUGAUUUUAAUUGUUACUUGCUAUUUUCAUAUGUCUAUUGUUAAUUUCUUGCUUAUUAUUUCUUAUGUCUCAUUCAUCACAAUAUUCCUUAUGAUUACUAACGAUUUAAUCUUUGUUUUGAAUCAUAGCAUGCACAUUUAAUUUUCUCAUCAUUUUAUUUUGUCAUUGACUUAGUGUGUAUAAAUAGAGAAUUGAUGUAAGUUUUAUUUCUUGCAUUUUAUUUUGGCAUAAAGGCCUUAGGGUUGUAUUUAGGAAUUGAUGUAAUAAUGUAGGUAACACAAGCACCGACACAUGCACCGACACUUCACAUUUAUUUCUUAUACGUCGUUACGUUAGCUUACCGUUAGUUUAGAAAAAACCUUUUUAUCAAAAAAACUAAAUAUGUCAAAUUCAAAAAUCAUUUUCUUAACAACAUUUUCUCUUUAUUUUCUUAAUCAAAUUCUCAAUCAAUCUUAACUCAACUUCAGCCAUUUUUAAACUUUAAAAUCAAUCAACCUCACUUGUUUUCUUUAUCUCAUGCCUUGAGGCCUCUUUCUCUUCUAAAAACCCAUUUUCAAAAAAAUCUUAAAAUCAACCUAACCCACCAUAGAAAUUUUUGGGUGGAACUACGUCGAUUUUGAUCCCUUUCCCAAAAGGGUACGUAGGCAGAGGACUUGUCCUUCCAAAUCAAAUAAAAAUAACCAAAAACAUACUUCUUCUCCCUCCAUUCUUUCACUUAGAUUUUAGGUAAUAAUUUUUCAAGUAAGCAAAUGAAUUUAGCACAAUAUAAUCUAGGUAAGAGGUUCCUAUGGAAUACCAUAGACGCUUAGGGUGCUAGCACCUUCCCUUCGCGUAACCAACCCCCGAAUUCAGAGUCUUAAGGGUUUUUACUCAUUUUUUCCCUUCCCACGAAUAAAAAUCGAGAGUUCAAAGAUUGACGAUUCAAAUCAAUUAAUGGUGUGAUAUCCGAAAAUCGC
This 1134-nucleotide long non-coding RNA is filed under the name Medicago truncatula (barrel medic). RNAcentral describes it as "long non-coding RNA (MTRU_LNC008434)". Lineage: Eukaryota; Viridiplantae; Streptophyta; Magnoliopsida; Fabales; Fabaceae. The record is from RNAcentral.